RNAcentral lists this unclassified non-coding RNA (167 nucleotides) under uncultured Sordariomycetes. Its description in RNAcentral is "sequence contains ITS1". The record is from RNAcentral. Lineage: Eukaryota; Fungi; Ascomycota; Sordariomycetes.
AAGAGUGUAAAAACUCCCAAACCCUUGUGAACCUACCUAUAGUCGUGCUUCGGCGGGCAGCCUUCCCCUCGGGGGGGCCUCGCCUCUCUAUGAGAGGUGUCCGUCGGAGGACCACAACCAAACUCUUGCUGAAUUUGUCAUCUCUGAGUAUUAUAUCAAAUGAAUCA